GGCACCGGGAGAGGAGCUGGAGGAGGCCAAAAUAAGAAUGCAGGAUCACAGUCAAGGCUGCUGCGGAGCCAGGAAAGACAGCGAUGCAGACUCCGGACUAGGACCUGCUGCACUCAGAAGCCUGUGGAUGGCAGGAGGCCAGGGAAGGAUACAAGCAGGUCCGGGAGGGAGGGCGGCUGCGCUCCAGAAAUGAGGAGCGGGAACUUGGGACAGCAACUGGUACCUGGACAGUGAACUUGACCAUUCCAGGGGGCUCCCAACGACGGUGAAGGUAGGGGGUGUGGCCGAAAGGACACAAAGGCUAAACACAGCUACAGGGGUGGGGGAUAAGGGUGGUGGUGACAAGGAUCGAAGGACACCUUUCUGCAACCAACUAGGGACUGUAAAGACAAUUGAACUGAGGGUGAUUUUGUAUGAGAAAGCUAAAGCAGCAAAGAAAGGAAAAUCAGGAUUGAAGAGCUGAGAGAGAGAGAAGAGUUAGAAGCCAAAGAAAGCAAACUGCACCCGGAACUAAAGGAAAAAGGAAAGCAAUAAAGGAAAUUUUCAAAACACAUGGCAGAGCGAACUUGUUCCUGAAACUACCAACAGAGGGAGGAAAAAGGGGUGGGGGCGCCGAGCAUGCUGGAGGAACCAAGAGAGAAGGAAGGAAAGGAGAGAAGACUGGAUGCAAAUUAAACCAGACACGGCAUAGACACAGAUAAAUCUGGCAUCACAACAGCUGCCCAUUCUUCUCGCUAUGCAAAGUACUGAUUUGGGGUGUAUUUUAGUGAUGCGAAUGUCAUCCAUUUCCAGCUAAACUCACAGAUUCAUCUUAAUCUCACUAGAAGAGAGACAUCCAGGUUCUCUCCUUGGACCUUGAACUUGCUGAUUCAGCUAAGCUGCCUGGUCAGAACGCCCCAAGGAUGCUUGUCUUAAGUCAUCAGUGCAGGGAUUACAGAUGUGCACCACCACACCCAGCUUUUUAAGUGGGUGCUUGGGAUCAGAACUCGGGUCCUCGUGAUUGAGUGGCAAGCAUAUUAGCUACUGAGCCAUCUCCCCAGCCACUAAAUUGCU
This is a long non-coding RNA of Chionomys nivalis (European snow vole), 1053 nucleotides long. RefSeq lists it as uncharacterized. The record is from RefSeq and is a predicted model, not a curated record. NCBI's taxonomy places the organism in Eukaryota, Metazoa, Chordata, Mammalia, Rodentia, Cricetidae. The transcript has 4 exons.